GACGAACGCUGGCGGCGUGCCUAAUACAUGCAAGUCGAACGCUGACGCAGGAGCUUGCUUCUCUGGCUGAGUUGCGAACGGGUGAGUAACGCGUAGGUAACCUGCCUGGUAGCGGGGGAUAACUAUUGGAAACGAUAGCUACUACCGCAUAAGAGUAGAUGUUGCAUGACAUUCGCUUAAAAUUUGCACUUGCAUCACUACCAUAUGGCCCUGCGUUGUUUUAGCUAGGUGGUGGGGUAACGGCUUACCAACGCGACGGUUCAUAGCCGACCUGAGAAGGAGGUCGGCCACACGUGGACUGGGGCACGGCCCAGACCCCUACGGGAGGCAAGAGUAGGGGAACUUUGGAAAUGGGCGGAAGUCUGACCGAGCAACGCCGGGGGAGUGAAGGAGGUUCUCGGAUCGUAAAGCUCUGUUGGAAGAGAAGAACGAGUGGGAGAGUGGAAAGUUCACGCUGUGACGGUAUCUUACCAGAAAGGAACGGCUAACUACGUG
Molecule: ribosomal RNA, 495 nt
Filed under: uncultured bacterium
Lineage: Bacteria
Description: partial 16S ribosomal RNA
Rfam family: Bacterial small subunit ribosomal RNA
Source: RNAcentral